This 498-nucleotide ribosomal RNA is filed under the name uncultured Bacillota bacterium. RNAcentral's name for it is "bacterial SSU rRNA". Lineage: Bacteria; Bacillati; Bacillota. The record is from RNAcentral.
GAGUUUGAUCCUGGCUCAGGACGAACGCUGGCGGCGUGCCUAAUACAUGCAAGUAGAACGCUGAAGGAGGAGCUUGCUYUUCUGGAUGAGUUGCGAACGGGUGAGUAACGCGUAGGUAACCUGCCUGGUAGCGGGGGAUAACUAUUGGAAACGAUAGCUAAUACCGCAUAACAGUAGAUGUUGCAUGACAUUUGCUUAAAAGGUGCAAUUGCAUCACUACCAGAUGGACCUGCGUUGUAUUAGCUAGUUGGUGGGGUAACGGCUCACCAAGGCGACGAUACAUAGCCGACCUGAGAGGGUGAUCGGCCACACUGGGACUGAGACACGGCCCAGACUCCUACGGGAGGCAGCAGUAGGGAAUYUUCGGCAAUGGACGGAAGUCUGACCGAGCAACGCCGCGUGAGUGAAGAAGGUUUUCGGAUCGUAAAGCUCUGUUGUAAGAGAAGAACGAGUGUGAGAGUGGAAAGUCACACUGUGACGGAUCUACAGAAAAUUCCC